RNAcentral lists this transfer RNA (52 nucleotides) under Duttaphrynus melanostictus (Asian common toad). RNAcentral describes it as "partial tRNA-Gly". The record is from RNAcentral. Lineage: Eukaryota; Metazoa; Chordata; Amphibia; Anura; Bufonidae.
AGUACUAAUGACUUCCAAUCAUUAAGCCUUGGUUAGACCCCAAGAGAAAAUA